UACGUAGGGUGCAAGCGUUGUCCGGAAUUAUUGGGCGUAAAGAGCUCGUAGGCGGUUUGUUGCGUCGGCUGUGAAAUCCCGAGGCUCAACCUCGGGUCUGCAGUCGAUACGAGCAAACUAGAGUGUUGCAGGGGAGACUGGAAUUCCUGGUGUAGCGGUGAAAUGCGCAGAUAUCAGGAGGAACACCGGUGGCGAAGGCGGCGACCUGGGCAGAUACUGACGCUGAGGUGCGAAAGCGUGGGGAGCAAACAGG
This 253-nucleotide ribosomal RNA is filed under the name uncultured bacterium. Its description in RNAcentral is "partial 16S ribosomal RNA". It matches the Rfam family "Bacterial small subunit ribosomal RNA", at positions 524 to 776 of the family's 1533-position model. The record is from RNAcentral.